UUUAUUUGGAAAGAUUAUGCAGUUCAAUUUCUUGAUAUCUAGGAAUUAGAGUUAGAUACAGAUUUUCUUAUGAAGUUUCAUAUUUUUAAGAGUUUCCUAUUCUUAGAGAGUUAAUUACUAUUUUUAAGCUACACAAUUGUGUAUAUAAACUCAGGUUGUAACCUGAUUUAGUGAUGAUAAAUUUCAUUCUUCUCUUAUGAUUUUGGUCAUGAUAUCAGAGCUAUUGGCUCUUUCUUGAUAAACUCUGAAUUUUUUCUGUUCUUUUCUC
This 268-nucleotide long non-coding RNA is filed under the name Gossypium raimondii (Peruvian cotton). Its description in RNAcentral is "long non-coding RNA (GRAI_LNC000103)". Lineage: Eukaryota; Viridiplantae; Streptophyta; Magnoliopsida; Malvales; Malvaceae. The record is from RNAcentral.